AUGAGGGUUCUUUCUCCAGCACGGGAACUCGGGGACACAUUCACAUCAGAGCCAGCCUGGGUUCUUCUCCCUGGUAUUGAUCGAGUGGAAAGAGGUUUCCAUUUAGAGUCCAAGUGCAGCCUUGUAAAUCUUGCUGUCAGCUGUGCGACUGUGUGGUUCAGAAGGACUUGUUCCCCUAUAAGGCAUCUGUCUGGGAAGCCUCUCGCAAGGGCAGAGCAGUUCCUGGCAGUUUGCUUUUUGUGUGUGUGUUGCUGGGGCUGGAAGCCAGGGUCCCCCACACGCAAGCAAGUGCCAGAGCCGAGCUUCUGGGGCACAGAGCAUAGGGUGGGAUGCUUGAAACUGCAUCUGCCAGGUAGGUGGUGUGGCUCCUCCAGACCCCGGGACCAGCAGAGGACCAAGUGGCUUGGCAAAUAAAACAUCCAAGCUCAGAAGCCUGCAAGGACUUGUUAGAGGAUGGGAGACGUGGGGAUAUAGGCCAGGGUUUUCCAUUUUCUGUGGGUUAGGACAUUUAAAGGAAUUGUUUUCAGUUUUUGUUCUGUCUUGCCAACAACCAGAGCUGUACUCCCAGGGCCCAGAGGAUUUCAUACUGCCUCCACACACUGAGUAUUAUUUAGCCUUAACAAGGAUGAGGUUCCGGAGCUGAAGAUGCAGCUCAGUGGUGGAGCGUGCGCUUAGCGCGCGCAUGGCCCUGGCUUCCACCCCAGUACUACGAGGUACAUGCAGUAUGAUUCUGAGACGGACCCCCAUGGUGGACAAGGCUGGAUAACAACAAAAUAAAGUCCUGAUGCAGUAAACUCCUACCCUUCGUGACGUGGUGUGUUGCUGUUUUCAACAGGCUUAAAGGGACCCUGGUAAAGCCAAGUGAGCAGGAUGUGUGCACAAAAUGAGAAGUUGUUACCAAGGAAGAGCCAAAAAAGUGCCCUAGCCUCACUUGCUCCUCGCACAAUUAAAAAGCACAGAUUUUGGAGUCCACACAGCUGGGUGAAUCAGUGUUAGUUUGCCUCUGGCUUUGCUGACGUGUGGGUUAUGAUAACAGGGCCUGGCUUCUUCCCCAGGGAUGGAAGGCUGCUCUCGAUAAAGCACUGACUCCUUACAGGACCUGCCAAUGUCUAAUGGUGGCAAGUGGACUAAAAUCUUGGCAUCCCUGUAUUCAUGUUGUAUCUGUCCCCUCUGCCAGUGUAACCCCUGGGUCAGAGUCUACUCGGCUCUGCAUGUAGGUAUGUUGAUCAUUUAAAAAACAUUUAGUCCAUGUGGUGGCACACACCUGUAAUCCCAGCACUCAGGAGGCUGAGGCAAGAGGAUCAUUGAGAGUUCAAGGCCAGCCUGGGCUACAAAGUGAGCUCAAGGCCAACCUCAACUGCAUAGCGAGACCCUGUCUCAAAAAGAAAAAAAAAAAAACCAACAUUUAGGGGCUGGGAAUUUAGCUCAGCAGCACAGCGCCUGCCUGGCAAGCGCAAGGUCGUGAGUUCGAUUCCCAGUACCAGAAAAAAAAACAAAACAACAAAUACAAACAAAAAACAACAUUUAGUCCAUUCAGCAUGGUGACACACCUCUGCAGUCCCAGUAUUCAGAAGGAGGAGGCAGGAGGAUUGCUAUGAGUUUGAGGCCAGUCAGAACUACAUUGUGAGUUCAAGGCCAGCCUGCAUAGUGAGACCCUACCUCAAAAAACUAAAAUCAAACAAACAAAACCAUUUUAUUUCAGACUGAUCUGACUUUGCUUGGUCUGCUGCCUUAGGGACCUAGUGUGUGUUUUCCUUUCUCUCUCCCCUCUUUUCUACCCCACCCUGCGCUUGCUCAGCAGCGGCAUUUGCCCGAGCACCCAAGGGCCCAGUCCCACCAGGCAUUUUAGGCAGGAUAGUGGUGCUACCACAGAACAUGGGGCCUGGCAAAGCUGGUGGAGAAGUGGGUAAAGUUACAAGGUCCCAAGACAAUGCCAGGACCCUGUAUGUAGAACUUCUUCCAAGUGCCCAUGCAAUGUGAACAACAUACAGAACACAGAUACCACAAGAGCCUGCUAUCGUGACUUCCCACA
This 2032-nucleotide long non-coding RNA is filed under the name Chinchilla lanigera (long-tailed chinchilla). RNAcentral's name for it is "lncRNA (ENSCLAG00000023592.1)". Lineage: Eukaryota; Metazoa; Chordata; Mammalia; Rodentia; Chinchillidae. The record is from RNAcentral.